CCCUUAGAUGUCCGGGGCCGCACGCGCGCUACACUGAACGGAUCAGCGCGUUUUCCCUUCCCGAGAGGGACGGGUAACCUGCUGAACCCCGUUCGUGGUAGGGAUCGGGGCUUGCAAUUAUUCCCCGUGAACCAGGAAUGCCCAGUAAGUGCAAGUCAUAAGCUUGCGUUGAUUACGUCCCUGCCCUUUGUACACACCGCCCGUCGCUACUACCGAUUGAACGUUUUAGUGAGGUACUCGGACUGAGCCUCAGAAGAUUCACGUCUUUUGUGCUGCUCGGGAAGAUUCCCAAACUUGAGCGUUUAGAGGAAGUAAAAGUCGUAACA
RNAcentral lists this ribosomal RNA (326 nucleotides) under uncultured eukaryote. RNAcentral describes it as "partial 18S ribosomal RNA". It matches the Rfam family "Eukaryotic small subunit ribosomal RNA", at positions 1470 to 1796 of the family's 1831-position model. The record is from RNAcentral.